UUCCCAUAUCUGUGGCCCUUAAAAUCCUACGGUUGAGUGCCUGCCUUGGAUCAGCAGUCAGUUCGUUACCUUGGUUCUCAGACGAUGCUUGCAACAACACCAUGCGAUUCGCUCACUCUUGGGUAGAUGGAGACAUUGGGGCUCAGGUGUGGGCAGUUUUAAGAAGAAUACAUUGAUUCUACAACAUGCUAUUGUGAAGCCAUCCAGGACUGUUCACUCACUUAUUUAAGAAAGAGAAAAUAAGAGAAGUAUCCCUGAAGGAUGAAAUAUCCUCAAAUAUGAAAAUGUCUGCUCUCUGAAGACCAACUGUCUUAGUCUGCUUUUUGCUGCUGUAACAGAAUACCACAGACUUGACAUCUAGGCUUGCUGUCAAGGCUUCUGAUCAACAUGAGAUGACUGCCGUGUGGUAAACUGAUGAACCCCGACCCCGAUGAACAUGAGAUGACUGCCGUGUGGUAAACUGAUGAACCCCGACCCUGAUCAACAUGAGAUGACUGCUGUGUAGUAAACUGAUGAACCCCGACCCUGAUCAACAUGAGAUGACCGCCGUGUGGUAAACUGAUGAACCCUGACCCUGAUCAACAUGAGAUGGCCGCUGUGUGGUAAACUGAUGAACCCCGACCCUGAUGAACAUCAGAUGACCGCCGUGUGGUAAACUGAUGAACCCCGACCCUGAUGAACAUGAGAUGACCUCUGUGUGGUAAACUGAUGAACCCUGACCCUGAUCAACAUGAGAUGGCCGCUGUGUGGUAAACUGAUGAACCCCGACCCUGAUGAACAUCAGAUGACCGCCGUGUGGUAAACUGAUGAACCCCGACCCUGAUGAACAUGAGAUGACCGCUGUGUGGUAAACUGAUGAACCCUGACCCUGAUCAACAUGAGAUGGCCGCUGUGUGGUAAACUGAUGAACCCCGACCCUGAUGAACAUCAGAUGACCGCUGUGUAGUAAACUGAUGAACCCUGACCCUGAUCAACAUGAGAUGGCCGCUGUGUGGUAAACUGAUGAACCCCGACCCUGAUGAACAUGAGAUGACCGCCGUGUGGUAAACUGAUGAACCCCGACCCUGAUGAACAUCAGAUGACCGCCGUGUGGUAAACUGAUGAACCCCGACCCUGAUGAACAUCAGAUGACCGCCGUGUGGUAAACUGAUGAACCCCGACCCUGAUCAACAUGAGAUGACCGCUGUGUGGUAAACUGAUGAACCCUGACCCUGAUCAACAUGAGAUGGCCGCUGUGUGGUAAACUGAUGAACCCUGACCCUGAUGAACAUCAGAUGACUGCCGUGUGGUAAACUGAUGAACCCCGACCCUGAUCAACAUGAGAUGGCCGCUGUGUAGUAAACUGAUGAACCCCGACCCUGAUGAACAUCAGAUGACCGCCGUGUGGUAAACUGAUGAACCCCGACCCUGAUGAACAUCAGAUGACCGCCGUGUGGUAAACUGAUGAACCCCGACCCUGAUCAACAUGAGAUGACCGCUGUGUAGUAAACUGAUGAACCCUGACCCAUUAGGCUUUGGCUACAGAAUGUGGAAAUAAGUUGUGUUACUACAUGUGUGUAAUCCUAGGGUGCAGGACACCGGCCGGGAGGUUCCGUAGAGUGAUGGGUUGUGCAGGUAACUCAUCCUCUAGUCCUCUGUAAGCUCCUAGAAGGAAGAAAUUAUGUUCUUUAGACUAAUAAAAUUCCUCCAAACCAAAUACAGCACCUACUGUGAAGACACAAAGAUACUUUUAGAAUAGUAAAAACUUUAUCCAUUGAGAAAUUCCUUAAUGAAACUGUAUCCAAGAAGUCAUUUGCCAGCAGAUUUCUUAGAGGUGCGAUAAAGAAGAGGACACUGCCAGUCGUCACAGCAGCUGCAAUAGCUCCUCUCUAUUGUUAAACACUGGGAUAUCUUGUACAGGUUUUCAGGUGACAAUCAAUUUUAAAAAUUAGUUUCAGUCCCCAUCAAUCAUUUAUUAACCCAUCAAUAAAAAUUUAAAUGCUCUGUAAGGUACAAUAGCUAUUAAAAGAGACGGAGGCACUUUCUGUGUCCAGAGGGGCUUUUAGUCUGCUCUGGAAAGCAAGAUGUGUGCAGAUGAGUGACACAGUGCAUCGUGUGGAUGCAAAGGGAGGGACUCACAUGGGAACCAGAGGAGCUGCGAAGGGAGGCAGCGGGGACUGGUGGUUCGAGACCUGGAAAUAACACAUGAAUAGGCAACAAAGGUUUCCGUUCCUCUUCCAUGCACUUCAGUCCUUGAAAAACGUCUUACCACGGAAUUCCACAGCGUACCAAGCGAUUCCACAGCUUGAUGGCACACUCUCCUUUCUCAGCAUUCUUGAAAAUGGCGUGUGAGCCAAGCCAUCUUACUGAGAAAUUACCUUAAACCAUUUGAUGAACCAAAAAUAUUUUGUAAUACCCAUCUCCAACAUUAGGUAGGCAAAUCACACAGAAACACCGAGGUCUUCUGAGUCAUAUUUAUC
This is a long non-coding RNA of Gorilla gorilla gorilla (western lowland gorilla), 2459 nucleotides long. RefSeq lists it as uncharacterized. The record is from RefSeq and is a predicted model, not a curated record. Lineage: Eukaryota; Metazoa; Chordata; Mammalia; Primates; Hominidae. The transcript has 4 exons.